This 301-nucleotide ribosomal RNA is filed under the name uncultured bacterium. RNAcentral describes it as "partial 16S ribosomal RNA". It matches the Rfam family "Bacterial small subunit ribosomal RNA", at positions 509 to 807 of the family's 1533-position model. The record is from RNAcentral.
CAGUAGCCGCGGGAAUACGAAGGGGGCUAGCGUUACUCGGAAUUACUGGGGGUAAAGCGUGCGUAGGUGGUGGUUUAAGUCCGUUGUGAAAGCCCUGGGCUCAACCUGGGAAUUGCAGUGGAUACUGGGUCACUAGAGUGUGGUAGAGGAUAGUGGAAUUUCCGGUGUAGCAGUGAAAUGCGUAGAGAUCGGAAGGAACAUCUAUGGCGAAGGCGACUAUCUGGGCCAACACUGACACUGAGGCACGAAAGCGUGGGGAGCAAACAGGAUUAGAUACCCGCGUAGUCCCUGUCUCUUAUAC